Molecule: ribosomal RNA, 206 nt
Filed under: uncultured bacterium
Lineage: Bacteria
Description: partial 16S ribosomal RNA
Rfam family: Bacterial small subunit ribosomal RNA
Source: RNAcentral
CCUUUAGGACUGACAUAACCUAUCGAAAGGUAGGCUAAUAUCAGAUGAUGCAGCGGCUCGACAUCGAGACAGUUGUUAAACCUUCGGGGCCUAAAGAUGAGCCUGCGUCUGAUUAGGUAGUUGGCGGAGUAAAAGCCCACCAAGCCUGCGAUCAGUAGCUGGUCUGAGAGGAUGAUCAGCCACACUGGAACUGAGACACGGUCCAG